UACGUAGGGUGCGAGCGUUGUCCGGAAUCAUUGGGCGUAAAGAGCGCGUAGGCGGCCAGAUAAGUCCGGUGUGAAAGUCAAAGGCUCAACCUUUGAAUGCCGCUGGAAACUGUCUGGCUAGAGUCCGGGAGGGGCGAGUGGAAUUCCUGGUGUAGCGGUGAAAUGCGCAGAUAUCAGGAGGAACACCAAUGGCGAAGGCAGCUCGCUGGAACGGUACUGACGCUGAGGCGCGAAAGCGUGGGGAGCAAACAGG
Molecule: ribosomal RNA, 253 nt
Filed under: uncultured bacterium
Lineage: Bacteria
Description: partial 16S ribosomal RNA
Rfam family: Bacterial small subunit ribosomal RNA
Source: RNAcentral